AUGAUCCCUUCCGCCACGCUCCUCCACGCUGCGUGGAUCACGGCCGCCGUCGCCGUCUGCCUCGCGCUCUGCACCAUCCACUCCCGCAAGUCCUCCUCCUCGCUCCGCCGCGGCUCUUCACGCCCCGGGCCGGCUCGCAGCUCCACCGCUGCCGCCAGGACCAGCGAGUGCAACGGCGAUAUUGGCGCGGCAGCCGGCGCCACGCCGGCUGCGAGGGUAUCCCCGACGCCAAGCGACACGUCCAAGAGCUGCUGCGUUAACGUAGGCGAUCUGCACGAGCCGGCGCGCGUGGGGGACAACGUCAUGCAGAUCGAUGCCAGCGCCGUUGCCGGCCCGGUCACGGUCAUUGACGUUGGGACGCACGGGCCGAUCGCGCCGGUGUUCCUGGUGCCGGACCCGAUGCCACCGCGGCGGAGCCUUUCGGUGAAGCACAUCCGGUUCGCUGAGCGGCUGGAGAAGAUACGGUCGAGGCGGUGGGGAGGAGACAACGACGACGCGGAGGCCCAGCUGGACGACACCACGCUGUGGACGAAGACGAUCCUUCUCGGGGAGAGGUGCCGCGUCCCAAGCGGGGGCGGGGAUGGCGGCGGCGGCGACGACGCGUUGGGCUACAGGCCGAGGCAUCCCCGGUCGGUGCCGUGA
This 642-nucleotide ribosomal RNA is filed under the name Triticum aestivum (bread wheat). RNAcentral describes it as "partial small subunit ribosomal RNA". Lineage: Eukaryota; Viridiplantae; Streptophyta; Magnoliopsida; Poales; Poaceae. The record is from RNAcentral.